AUACGGAGGGUGCAAGCGUUACUCGGAAUCACUGGGCGUAAAGCGCGCGCAGGCGGCUUGAUAAGUUGGAUGUGAAAGCCUACGGCUCAACCAUAGAACUGCAUCCAAAACUGUCAGGCUAGAGUGUGGGAGAGGAAGAUGGAAUUAGUUGUGUAGGGGUAAAAUCCGUAGAGAUAACUAGGAAUACCAAAAGCGAAGGCAAUCUUCUGGAACACUACUGACGCUGAGGCGCGAAGGCGUGGGGAGCAAACAGGAUUAGAAACCCCGGUAGUCC
This 274-nucleotide ribosomal RNA is filed under the name uncultured bacterium. RNAcentral describes it as "partial 16S ribosomal RNA". It matches the Rfam family "Bacterial small subunit ribosomal RNA", at positions 523 to 796 of the family's 1533-position model. The record is from RNAcentral.